This 1438-nucleotide ribosomal RNA is filed under the name uncultured organism. RNAcentral's name for it is "16S ribosomal RNA". It matches the Rfam family "Bacterial small subunit ribosomal RNA". The record is from RNAcentral.
CAGGCUUAUCACGUGCAAGUCGAGGGGCAUCAGGAAGAAAGCCUGCUUUCUUUGCUGGCGACCGGCGCACGGGUGAGUAACACGUAUCCAACCUGCCCUUUACUCGGGGAUAGCCUUUCGAAAGAAAGAUUAAUACCCGAUGGCAUAAUGAUUCCGCAUGGUUUCAUUAUUAAAGGAUUCCGGUAAAGGAUGGGGAUGCGUUCCAUUAGGUUGUUGGUGAGGUAACGGCUCACCAAGCCUUCGAUGGAUAGGGGUUCUGAGAGGAAGGUCCCCCACAUUGGAACUGAGACACGGUCCAAACUCCUACGGGAGGCAGCAGUGAGGAAUAUUGGUCAAUGGGCGCUAGCCUGAACCAGCCAAGUAGCGUGAAGGAUGAAGGCUCUAUGGGUCGUAAACUUCUUUUAUAUAAGAAUAAAGUGCAGUAUGUAUACUGUUUUGUAUGUAUUAUAUGAAUAAGGAUCGGCUAACUCCGUGCCAGCAGCCGCGGUAAUACGGAGGAUCCGAGCGUUAUCCGGAUUUAUUGGGUUUAAAGGGAGCGUAGGUGGACUGGUAAGUCAGUUGUGAAAGUUUGCGGCUCAACCGUAAAAUUGCAGUUGAUACUGUCAGUCUUGAGUACAGUAGAGGUGGGCGGAAUUCGUGGUGUAGCGGUGAAAUGCUUAGAUAUCACGAAGAACUCCGAUUGCGAAGGCAGCUCACUGGACUGCAACUGACACUGAUGCUCGAAAGUGUGGGUAUCAAACAGGAUUAGAUACCCUGGUAGUCCACACAGUAAACGAUGAAUACUCGCUGUUUGCGAUAUACAGUAAGCGGCCAAGCGAAAGCAUUAAGUAUUCCACCUGGGGAGUACGCCGGCAACGGUGAAACUCAAAGGAAUUGACGGGGGCCCGCACAAGCGGAGGAACAUGUGGUUUAAUUCGAUGAUACGCGAGGAACCUUACCCGGGCUUAAAUUGCAGUGGAAUGAUGUGGAAACAUGUCAGUGAGCAAUCACCGCUGUGAAGGUGCUGCAUGGUUGUCGUCAGCUCGUGCCGUGAGGUGUCGGCUUAAGUGCCAUAACGAGCGCAACCCUUAUCUUUAGUUACUAACAGGUUAUGCUGAGGACUCUAGAGAGACUGCCGUCGUAAGAUGUGAGGAAGGUGGGGAUGACGUCAAAUCAGCACGGCCCUAACGUCCGGGGCUACACACGUGUUACAAUGGGGGGUACAGAAGGCAGCUAGCGGGUGACCGUAUGCUAAUCCCAAAAGCCUCUCUCAGUUCGGAUCGAAGUCUGCAACCCGACUUCGUGAAGCUGGAUUCGCUAGUAAUCGCGCAUCAGCCACGGCGCGGUGAAUACGUUCCCGGGCCUUGUACACACCGCCCGUCAAGCCAUGGGAGCCGGGGGUACCUGAAGUACGUAACCGCAAGGAUCGUCCUAGGGUAAAACUGGUGACUGGGGCUAA